CCUACGGGAGGCUGCAGUCGAGAAUCAUUCACAAUGGGGGAAACCCUGAUGGUGCGACGCCGCGUGGGGGAAUGAAGGUCUUCGGAUUGUAAACCCCUGUCAUGUGGGAGCAAAUUAAAAAGAUAGUACCACAAGAGGAAGAGACGGCUAACUCUGUGCCAGCAGCCGCGGUAAUACAGAGGUCUAAAGCGUUGUUCGGAAUCACUGGGCGUAAAGCGUGCGUAGUCUGUUUCGUAAGUCGUGUGUGAAAGGCGCGGGCUCAACACGCGGACGGCACAUGAUACUGCGAGACUAGAGGAAUGGGGAGGGAGCCGGAAUUCGGGGUGUAGAAGGAAAAUGCGUAGAUA
RNAcentral lists this ribosomal RNA (347 nucleotides) under uncultured bacterium. RNAcentral describes it as "partial 16S ribosomal RNA". It matches the Rfam family "Bacterial small subunit ribosomal RNA", at positions 338 to 696 of the family's 1533-position model. The record is from RNAcentral.